GAAUCCUACGGGGGGGCAGCAGUGGGGGAUAUUGGACAAUGGGGGAAACCCUGAUCCAGCGACGCCGCGUGAGUGAAGAAGUAUUUCGGUAUGUAAAGCUCUGUCAGCAGGGAAGAAAGAAAUGACGGUACCUGAGUAAGAAGCCCCGGCUAACUACGUGCCAGCAGCCGCGGUAACACGUAGGGGGCAAGCGUUAUCCGGAUUUACUGGGUGUAAAGGGAGCGUAGACGGCCAGACAAGUCUG
RNAcentral lists this ribosomal RNA (244 nucleotides) under uncultured bacterium. RNAcentral's name for it is "partial 16S ribosomal RNA". It matches the Rfam family "Bacterial small subunit ribosomal RNA", at positions 334 to 591 of the family's 1533-position model. The record is from RNAcentral.